This 537-nucleotide ribosomal RNA is filed under the name uncultured bacterium. RNAcentral's name for it is "bacterial SSU rRNA". It matches the Rfam family "Bacterial small subunit ribosomal RNA", at positions 773 to 1327 of the family's 1533-position model. The record is from RNAcentral.
AGGGAAUAGAUACCCCGGUAGUCCAUGCUGUAAACGAUGGAUGCUAGCUGUGAUGCGUAUCGACCCGCGUCGUAGCGAAGCUAACGCGUUAAGCAUCCCGCCUGUGGAGUACGGCCGCAAGGCUAAAACAUAAAGGAAUUGACGGGGACCCGCACAAGCGGUGGAGCGUGUUGUUUAAUUCGAUGGUAAGCGAAGAACCUUACCCAGGUUUGACAUCCUUGGAAGUUCUGCGAAAGCAGAGUGUGCCUUCGGGAACCAAGUGACAGGUGAUGCAUGGCCGUCUUCAGCUCGUGUCGUGAGACGUUAGGUUAAGUCCUUCAACGAGCGCAACCCUUAUAGUUAGUUGUAUUUUCUAGCUAGACUGCCCUGGUAACAGGGAGGAAGGAGGGGACGAUGUCAGGUCAGUAUCUCCCUUAUAUCUGGGGCUACAACACGCUACAAUGGCCGGUACAAGGGAAGCUAACCCGCGAGGGGAGCAAAUCCCAUCAAAGCCGGUCUCAGUUCGGAUUGUAGGCUGAAACUCGCCUGCAUGAAGCU